This 19290-nucleotide long non-coding RNA is filed under the name Capsella rubella. RNAcentral's name for it is "long non-coding RNA (CRUB_LNC004935)". Lineage: Eukaryota; Viridiplantae; Streptophyta; Magnoliopsida; Brassicales; Brassicaceae. The record is from RNAcentral.
AUUGAUCUUAGCAUGAACAGUUUCUCUGGAUCUAUCCCUCCUCAAUUCAGAAACAUCUCCAAGCUAAUCUACUUUAACCUCUCCACAAACUACUUAACCGGAUCGAUUCCAUUUGAGAUCGGUCUCUUAACCUCAGUUCAAGAUAUCGACUUGUCUAACAAUUCCCUAUCUGGACCAAUACCCUCUUCCAUUGGAAAUCUAAACAACUUGGUAAAACUGCACCUCUUUUCCAAUUCUUUCUCGGGUCCACUUCCUUCUGAGAUUGGAAACUUACCCAACCUUGUUGUUCUAGGUCUUAGUAGAAACAACCUGUCUAAGUCAAUACCCUCUUCCAUUGGAAAUCUCACCAAUUUGGUAAAGGUUUAUCUUCAUACCAAUUCUUUCUCGGGUCCACUUCCUUUUGAGAUUGGAAACUUACCCAACCUUGUUAAGCUAGAUCUUAGUACAAACAACCUGACUGGACCAAUACCCUCCUCCAUUGGAAAUCUAACCAACUUGGUAAAACUGCACCUCUUUUCCAAUUCUUUCUCGGGUACACUUCCUUACGAGAUUGGAAACUUACCCAAACUUGUUGAGAUAGGUCUUUACAGAAACAACCUGUCUGGACCAAUACCCUCUUCCAUUGGAAAUCUAACCAACUUAGUAAAAUUGUACCUCUAUACCAAUUCAUUCUCGGGUUCAAUUCCUUCUUCCUUAGGAAACCUGAAGAACUUAACAGGUCUUUAUCUUGAUAUGAAUUAUCUAAGUGGUUUCAUUCCCGUGGAACUAGGAAACAUGGAAUCCAUGAUUCAGUUGGCGAUAAGUCAGAACAAUCUUAUAGGUUAUGUUCCUAAUUCCUUUGGAAACUUUACCAACCUGGAAUUGUUGUGCCUUAGUGAUAACCACCUCUCUGGUCUUAUUCCACUAGGAGUAUCAAACUCUUCAAAGUUGACUAUCUUGCAACUCGGUAGAAACAACUUCACUGGUUUCUUGCCUGGAAACAUUUGUGAAGGUGGGAAGCUUCAAUAUCUCUCAUUAGAUGAUAAUCACCUCGAAGGUCCUAUACCAAAAAGUUUGAAAAAUUGUCAGAGCUUGAUUAGAGCAAGAUUCAUAGGGAACAUAUUCAUUGGAGAUAUUUCUGAAGCUUUUGGUGUUUACCCACAUCUUGAUUUCAUUGAUCUUAGUCACAACAAAUUCCAUGGUGAGAUUUCAGGCAACUGGGAGAAGAGUCGAAAACUAGGUGCCUUGAUCAUGUCAAACAACAACAUCACAGGUGUUAUCCCACCAGAGACUUGGAACAUGACACAACUAGUUGAGUUGGAUCUGUCUACCAACAACCUAAUUGGUGAGCUUCCAGAAUCAAUUGGAAAACUCACAGGUUUGUCAAAGCUACUACUUAAUGGGAAUCAGCUAUCUGGAAGAGUUCCCGCAAGGUUGAGUGUCUUAACCAUGCUUGAGUAUCUGGACUUAUCUUCAAACAAUUUUAGUCAGAUCCCACAAACCUUUGAUUCAUUUUUAAAGCUUCAUGACAUGAACCUGAGCAGGAACAUGUUCAACGGAUGCAUUCCCCGACUAACAAAACUUACUCAGUUAAAUCAUCUUGAUCUCAGCUACAACCAGCUAGAUGGAGAAAUCCCAUCACAACUCAGCUCCUUACAGAGCCUUAACAAGCUCGACCUGUCACACAACAAUCUUUCCGGUAUCAUUCCCACAAGUUUUCAGGGCAUGAAAGGGCUGACAUAUAUCGAUAUAUCAAACAAUAAACUCGAGGGUCUGCUACCAGAAAAUCCCGCGUUUGAAAACGCAACAGCAGAUUCACUGGAGGGAAACAUAGGCUUAUGCAGUAAUAUUCCUAGACAAAGGUUGAAAUCAUGCCCUAUCACUUCCCCCGGGUUCAAGAAAAAGAAGAAUGGCAACCUUAUUGUUUGGAUACUAGUGUCGAUCCUAGGGGCACUCGUCAUUCUCUCUAUAUGUGCAGGUAUAUUUACCUACUACCUUCGAAAACGAAAAAAACACAUUGGAAAUAACAACUCAUAUGCUGAUAGUGGACAGACUCUGUCCAUCUUUUGCUACGAUGGCAAAGUCAAAUACCAAGAUAUCAUCCAAUCCACAAAUGAAUUUGAUCCAAAAUACGUGAUCGGAAUCGGAGGAUACGGCAAAGUCUACAAAGCAAACCUCCCAGGCGCAACCGUAGCAGUGAAAAAGCUACACCAAACAAUGAACGAAGAGAUAUCAAAGCCAGUGGUGAAGUAAGAGUUCCUAAACGAAGUAAGAGCGUUAACAGAGAUCCGUCACCGCAACGUCGUGAAGCUCUUCGGCUUCUGCUCCCACCGCCGCCACACAUUUCUGAUCUACGAGUACAUGGAAAAAGGAAGUUUAAACAAACUGUUAGCUGACGACAAAGAAGCUAAGCAACUCAACUGGACCAAAAGGAUAAGCAUCAUCAAAGGUGUUGCAAACGCGUUAUCGUAUAUGCACCAUGACCGAACUACUCCAAUCGUCCACCGUGAUAUUAGUAGCGGCAAUAUCCUUCUCGAUAACGAUUACAAAGCUAAGAUCUCCGAUUUCGGUACAGCGAAGCUUCUCAAGAUGGAUUCCUCAAAUUGGUCCGCCGUCGCCGGAACCUACGGCUACGUCGCUCCAGGUAAAUCUAAAUCAACGAUAAUUGAAAAUUGAAAUUGAGCUCAUGAAACUGAAAAUUCUCAACAGAAUUGGCUUACGCGAUGAAGGUGACGGAGAAAUGCGAUGUGUAUAGCUUUGGAGUAUUGACGCUGGAAGUGAUAAAAGGGAAACAUCCGGGAGAUUUGGUUUCGGCUUUGUCAUCUUCGUCUCCGGGAGAAACUCCGUCGUUGAGAAGCAUUUCCGAUGAGCGUUUAGGAGAACCAGAGGCGGAGAUUAGAGAGAAGCUUGUGAAGAUGAUGGAAGUGGCGUUGUCGUGCUUACAAGCAGAUCCAAUGUCUCGGGCAACAAUGUUGUCAAUAUCCACAGCGUUCACUUAAAAAAUUAUAAUAUAAUGGUUUUACAAUUUAAAUAAAACACAAAUAAUUAUUUGUUUAGGAAGUAGUACGUAAGUUUGUUAAACACAUGAUAAAUGAAAAUUAACUUUUUUCUCUUCUCAUGAUGCCAUUAACUAUUCACCUAAACAAUAUUUUUCUUUUUACACAAAAGUAAAUUUAAAAUAUGUAUUUAAUUUAUAUUUAUGUUACUUAUAAUUAAUAAAAAAUUUAUAUAAAUAAAAUGAAUUAUAUAAAAUAAUUGAAAUAUUCAAAUAAUAAAAACAAUAUUGUAAUGUUUUAUUAGUGGUAGUAAUAUAAUUCAACUUUUAUUUUAAACUAAUUAUAGUUUAUAAAUAGUUUAAAAGUUUAAAUAUGUUACUGGAUUUUAGAAUGGAAGUAAAUUUUAAUUUCAUCGUAGAAUAAAACAACCUUUAUGUAAUUGUAUAUAUAAAAUUUUAAACAUGAAAAAUAAAACUAAAAGUAAAAUAUUAGUUUAUAAGAUGAUCAGAAAGAGAAAAAAAUGAUAUUUUAUAGAUUGAAUCAAAUACUUUUAAUCCAAAUUUGAGUAUUAAAAGAUAGUAAUUAAAGAGAAAAUAGUUAUAAUUUGACUAUCUUCAAAAUAUAAAAAAGAAUUAUAAACUAAGCCCGGAUCAAUAACUAGUUAUGGUAUAAAUAAAUAUUAUUAUAAUUAUGUUAUUUUAGACAAACGUUUGACUUUUGGUAACUAAAUUAUAAUUAUGGCUGCGUAAUGUGAAUAAACUAAAUCCUGUAGUUGUUUGUUUUGGCUGAAUAAUAUUUUGUUCAAAAUUAUGUUAUAAAUAAAUAUUACUAUAUAUAGUUUAUAACAUGUAGUCCUCUCUUAAUAAUUUUUAAUAUCAAUUUAAAUAUUUUUUGGUGUUCGAAAAGACAGUUGAAAGAUGGAAGUAUGUGUAAUGUGUUCAUCAAUGCAAUUUGGUUUUGUAUUCGACAGUUUUAAUUGUUUUCGAGAAAUAGACCUUUUUAUAGAGGCCCUGUUCGGGGCAUAAUCGCAGCCGCAGCGAUUGAUGAUUAAUAAACAACCCUCAUCUCUCCUUCAUUUCUUUCUCUUUUCUUCUUCACUUCCAGUCGUGCGAUUCUUUUGUGACGAUUCCGAAGUCGCCGUAAUCAUGGGCGACACAAACUCAUGAUUAAUUGUCUACUUGCGACUGUAAUUUGUUAAAAAGCCAUGGACGAGCUUUUACAGAGCUUUACAGAGAAGAAAUAGAUCUAAUUCAAUAAUUCAAUUUCUAGUUAUUAUUUUAAUUUACAUUUUUACCUUUUUUUAAUUAUAAAUAAUAAUAAUAUAUAUCUUAUUUUCAAAAGGGUCGCACCUAUGAGUCGCACGAUCCCCUAAAGAACAGGGCCUCUGUUUUAUGUAUCACUGCACAAUGAACGUUAACUACCAAAUUGAGAUUAUUGACUUGACUUUACUUUCAAAGCACAGAAUGUUCCAACGUAUAUAACCCCUAAGAAUGUGCCAAAAUAAGAAUGGCUCGGUUAAGCCGAAGCCUACAUGCUUAAUUCAGACUUUAACUUGUUGUUAUUUUCUAAGUUUUCAUAUUUUCAUUAUUAACCAUCAAAUUACUUCCUACAAUAUAUAUCCAUUUAGAUUUUUUUUUUUUUGAGAAAUACUUACUAAUGCCCUGAUUUUUUUGGCCAUUUUCAUUUAUACCCUCUCUUAAUUUUAAUAUUCAUUUUACCCCUAGUUGAAAAUUAAUUAAGUCAACAAAAUGAAAAAUUGAAUUAUUUCCGCUAAAAAUUUUCUGGCCAAAUUUUUUUCACGGAAACACUGUUUUCAGAAUCAAAAAAUAGAAGGUUUUUAAAAGGAUUUUUAAAGGAUUUACAAAGAUUUUAAAGGAGUUACAAAGGUUUUUGAAUGGUUUUAAAAAUUUACAAGGGUCUUUAAAUAGUAUUAAAAAGAUUUACAAGGGUCUUUAAAUAAUUUUAAGAGUUUAUAAGGGUUUUUAAAGGUUUUAAAGGAUUUACAAUGAUUUUAUAAGGGGUUUAGAAGUUUAUAAGGGUUUUUAAAGAUUCUAAAAGGGUUUUUAAAUGGUUUUAAAGGAUUUACAAUGGUUUUAUAUGGGUUUUGAAGUUUAUAAGGGUUUUCAAAGAGUCUACAAGGGUUUUUAAAGGUUUUUAAAGGGUUUUUUAAAAAUUUACAAGGACUUUUAAAUGGUUCUAAAAAUAUUUACUAGGGUUUUUAAAUGGUUUUUAAAUUGAUUUACAAAGUUUAAAUAGUUUUUGAAGUUUAUAGAGAAUUUCUUAGAUAUACCCCUCUUGGGGUAUCUCCUUUUAAAAAUACCCCUAUAAGGGAAGCAUUUUUAAAACUACCCUCUUAAAGACUUUUAAGACAAUUUUACCCUCCUAAAUGACCUAAACACAGUUUCUCCUUUCUCUUCUCCUUUCUCUUCUCCUUUCUUCGCCGUUUUGUUUUGGAUCUUCACCGUCGUCUCUCGCCGUCGUCGUCCCUCGCCGUCGUCUUCUCUCGCCGUUGUCUUCUCUCGCCGUCGUCUCUUCUCGGCAUCGGCGUCGUCUCUUCUCGGCGUCGCCGUCGUCUUCUCUCGCCGUCGUCUUCUCUCGCCGUCGUCUUCUCUCGCCGUUGUCUUCUCUCGCCGUCGUCUCUUCUCGGCAUCGGCGUCGCCGUCGUCUCUUCUCUCCAUCGACGUCGUCUCUUCUCGGCGUCGCCUUCGUCUCUUCUCUUUAUCGCCUUCGUUUCUUAAUUACAUAUUUCCUGGUUCGUUUCCCAGAUCUGUUCACUACUUGAUUAGAUCUCAUCACUUUUUCAACCAAUAUUGUUCUUCUUCCAUGUACUUGUUAUCUGUUGUUGAAUUUUGAAGGAUUUUUUUUCAUUGUUGUUUCUAUUCUUAUACCUUUUAAAAUCCAUUUAAAAUCCUUAUAAUUCAUUUACUGACCACGUUUUCAUUGUGAUAUUUCUUUGUUUUCGCAGGACUUAGUUUAGAGAUGCUUGAACUGUAUUCAGUUUGUGGAUUAUGGAAGUUGAAGCAUAAUAUUAAAUGGGAAUUUGAAAUUGAUGAUGAGAGGGGAGUUUCUCUAAUUAGUAUUGAUGAGGGAACUAGUUUUACUGAUUUGGUCAAAAUUCUAUACGAAGAUUUUGCAAUUGAUAAUCAGAAACACUCUUUAAAGCUUAGUUUCCAGUUGCCUUCUAUGACUGCAACACUAGGUAGUCAUCCGAUUUUUAUUAGAAAUGAUAGGCAACUGGCAACUUUUAUGAGAAUUUCUGCACAAACACAAAGUAUUCAUUUAUGUGUUACUGUAGAGGAUAACUGUGUCAUAGUUGAGCAGGUAUAUUUUAUUGAUCUCUUUCUUAAUUUUGCUUAUAAAUCAUUACAAUCUUUAGUGACUGUAGUAAACUAUUUCUGCCUGUUUACUUUUCAGGAUCAAACUAGCUCAUAUCAGUUUGUUGCAAGCGAUGUAUCUUCUGCUUCUCAUUCUCAGGUAAACCUCUUUUAAAAUUACUGUUUAAAACUUUUGAAAACCUUAUAAAAAUCAUUUAAAACCCUUUUAAAACAUUAUAAACAAGACAAGUUGUUUGAAAACUCAUCUAUUAUUCGGAUACUGAAUUUGUACUUUCAGGUUCCGACAAUGCCUAAUCAUCCUGCUGCUACUUCUGGUCUUUUUACUUCCACUGAGGUAUCUAGAACGUCUACAAUCAUUAAUCAGCAGCCAGUUAUAUGUAACCAAACAACUUCUUUUGGGGCUAUUGAUGUUUCUUGUCCAAAUCGUACUCAGGUAAUCUACUACUUUAUAAAAACCCUUUAAAAAAAAUAUUGUUUCAAAUCAUUAUUAACUUAUUACGUCUUUAUUUUUCAGGAUCAAACUAGCUCAUAUCAGUUUGUUGCAAGCGAUGUAUCUUGUAAAAUACAUUUUAAAAGGGUUUUUUUUCUUUUUCUGUGAGAAGCCUUAUAUAAACAUUUUAAAACCCUUAUAAAAACCUUUGUAUUUCAAAUUCGUUUAAAACCCUUGUAAAGCUUUAUUAAUGAAAUCAAAAUUGUUUUACAAACCUUUUGUAAGAACCCUUGUAUUUAAAACAAGGUUAUAAACCGCGUAACUCGCAAUUAUAGUUUUAGUAUUGAAAUAGCACGAGUAUGAUUGAAGUGUUAUAUUGUAUUUUUCUUGGAAAUCCACUGAGAACAUUUUGUAAUGGUUUUAAAAGAUGAUUGAAGUGUUAUAAUAUUCUCAACAAAGAUAAAAGUAUUCAAAAGAUAAUUUUUUCAACAAGUGUUUUCAAAUCGACAUAGUUUCCAAAAGUAAAAUAAAAUAUAUCCUAGUUCUCCAUACUCCUUAGCAGUCAUCCAUAGUCCUACGCAAGGUAAUGUGAAUAACGUUAGGAAACUGUUUUAAACUGUUGUAAAUCCUACAAUAUUAAAAAAAAAAAAAUACUCAUACUAACCUAUGAAUUUCCUAAUUCAGCAAAUAUGUCAACCGCAAGUUUCUCUCGGAUAUCUGCAAUGCUGUGUUCAUGGAACUCGUCAUUAGUCCUUUUAGACAUUGCAUAGCUUUCCAUUAUCUUUACCAUGUACACACCACUAUCUUCAAUCUUCUUAAGCUAAAAACAAAAAACAAACUGAAAAGUCAACAGUAUUUACAUAUAAUAUAACAUCAAAACCAAGACAUUCUCAAAAAAUAUAAAAAAAAACUUAUCAAAGCUUCUAAAAACCAUAUAAAACCUUAUAAAACUAUAUAAAAACCUUAUUAAAACCUAAUAAACUCUUGAUAAACCUUAUAAAAACUCUUUAAAACCUUCUAAAUACCUUAUCUAACCUCGCAAGCCUUUUACUAAUUACAAAUAUUACCUGUGUAAAGCAGGAUUUGUGAAUGACACGGAAAGAAGAGGAAUUAAAAGGAGAGUCAUCAGUCCUCUCUACCAUUGGAAACUUCUUCUAUGCAAUAUAUGGCAUUGAUCUAGCAUACGCUUCGACCUGUUUUUGUUUCUUUUUAUCACUGAAAAAUGAUGAUCCAUUGUCCCAGAUAUGGAUUGAUCGUGAGGCCAAAUUAAUCUCAAGUGGUAUCCACAACCGUUGCUCGACACACAUUGGUGCAAAUAUGACUUUUGUGCGUUUCUCCUUAAACACCUUACUGAAGCAUUCAUCAUCAAAGUCGAAGCCAUCUUUGUCGUCUAGGAAUAUAUCGUAGGAAUCAUCAAUGGCCUCAAUGAAUUUUGAAUCCACUAAUGUCACAUCUUUGNNNNNNNNNNNNNNNNNNNNNNNNNNNNNNNNNNNNNNNNNNNNNNNNNNNNNNNNNNNNNNNNNNNNNNNNNNNNNNNNNNNNNNNNNNNNNNNNNNNNCAAUAUGCUAAACUCAACAAAAACAAAAUCAAAGUCAGAUCAACAACAUUAGAGAAAGGGCUAAAAUUAUUGUUAGUUUUUAUAAGGCUUUUAUACGGUUUUUAUAAAGUUAGGUUCUCACAAAUUUACAUAUAAGUCUUUUAAACGGUUUUUAUAAUGUUCUCAAAAAAGUAAACUGAAAAGUCAAUUCUAAAACUUAUAAAAGCCUUAUAAAAAACUUAUAAAACAAAUUAAAACUACUGUUAGAAAACUUACAGCUGCUUUUAUUGAUUUUCCUGGCGUCUCAAGUGUUGUGAACCACUUGGCAUCAACUUUGUUACCUAGAAUUGUUAGAGGCCUAAAAACGAACACAACAUAUUUACAGCUUUUAAAACACUUAUAAACAACUAAACGGAAUUCCAUUUCUUAUUUUGUCAAAUAAAACUGAAACUUACUUUGUUUUCCUUGAACUCUUCCAUUUAGCCAAUAGUUCUACCCGUGGUGUAUCAAUUUUUUCAAAGGGAUGAACAAUUGGGUGCCUUUUCUUCUCAGCCGUGUAAGGCCACUGAGUGUGAAUUGAUGGAGCAUGGUUUCGUUCACUUUUCCUUUUUACUUCACCAACAUUAUCAGCUUUAUUCUUCUUUCUUCGUGGCUGAACAAAAUAAAGUAAAAAUCCAGCAUUUUAUCGAUUUUCAAUUGUAAUAACUAUUGUAAUAUUUUUAAUUGCAAACUAACCAUAGCUUUUGUUGUAUCAUCAACAUCUUGAUUGUCACUUGUUUUACGCUUCUUUUGCUGCAAUGAACCAAACGAACACAUUUUGUAAACCAUUUAAUCCAAGUAUGGAACAUUUUUUAUAAAACCUGAUAAACUCUUGAUAAAAACCAUAUAAAAACCUGAUAAACUCUUGGUAAACAUUAUAAAAUCUCCUUUAGGCCUUAUAAAAACCUUAUAUUCACAGUUUAAUAAGCAUAUAAAGACCUUAUAAAAUAUUUAAAAAUCUGAUACUAACCUCUUUUCUUUCAGAAACAUUUUCUUCAGCAUUGUCUCAUUCUUUACACUUUUUCUGUAGAUCAAAACAAAUUAAUCAUGCUUAGUGUAACUUCUUUAAAAAUCAUUAAUCUCAUAACAUCCUUAUAAAGAAUAGAACACUAACCUGCUUUUUCUCUCUAACAACUUUCUUUUUACUGCUUCCUGCUUUCUGUUGACUGUUUUUCUUAUCCUUUCCGCUACCUUGACUUUCUUGAGAAAAGAGAUUGAACUUUGGUGUAGAAUGACUUGGAGUAUUGGAUUUAUCCUUCAAACAUAAUCACUCUAAAAUUUUACAAAAAGGCUUUUAAAAGGAAUUUAGUAUACUUAUAAAAAACUAUAUCAUCAUACCCUUGGUGUUCCUUCUUCUGCAUUAUCAUAAUUGCCACUCUUUUCAGUAUUUUCAUCGUCGCCGUCAUAACUUCCAUCUUGGGUGUUUGCUUGACGAAAUGAAUCUUCAAAAGUGCUAUUCACAUUUUCAUCAAAAACCCUAUCUUCUUUCCCAGUAUCUUCAUGAGGAUUACUUUGUCCAGCGUGCUACACAAAAAUAAAGAACCAGGCAAAGUAUCCCAAAUUUUCAAAAACCCUAUUAAAAAUUAUAUAAAACCCUUAUAAGCCUUUUAAAAACCAUAUAAAACCUUUAAAAAAUAUAUACUAACCUCUUCACUUUUAUCUUUGUCUCCUUCAAGCUCGGACUGCGAUAAGAAAAGUAAGAAAUUAUCAUAGGAAACAACCCAAACUUUUUAUUAAUUAAAAUUUACAAAUAUUUUACCUCGUUAUAUGUCCCCACGUUGUUUCUGACUUUUAGAACCACUUCAAGUAUUUCUAAUCUUCUGUUGAAGUCCGCAACUAGUUUAAGGAUCUUGUCCAGUUUGGCAGAAUCUGACAAUUGCUGCCCCAACUCUGCCUCCGCAGAAAUGUAUUCAACAAUUUUGUUCCUCCAAUCAAUCUCCUUUAAUCUGUAGCCUCUCAUCACCAAGUGUACGAUAUCUUCAAACUCUUUGUCGUCUACAUGAGUUUCUUCUACUAGGUGUUUGUAUUCCUCUGGAUCUCCAAUAAUAGAUUUGACCUCAAUCUAGAAAAAUAAAUAACAAAGGUUUUAAAAGCUUUUUAAAAUGGAUAUACAAUGAUUGUAAAUCCUUAUAAAACCCUUAUAAAAUCCUUAUAAAAUCCUUAUAAAACCCUUAUAAAAUCCUUACAAUGGUUGUAAACGCUUAUAAAAUCCUUAUAAAUCCCUUAUAAAACCCUAAAUAACUCUAUGAUACUUUUAAAAACCAUAUAAAACCUUAUACAAUUAAUGCUCAUCACCAAAUAAAAAGUGUUAUAAAAGGAAUGAAAACUUACACAAUCCGAUGAUUGAAUGGCAUCCACGAUUUGAUCUAAUCUUGGAGUUAACGAAGAUUCCCAGUUAGAGUAUAGAGGAUAAACACACUUUGACGUGUCGUUGCAUACAGCAAACGACGCUCCAAAAAGUGGUACAGCGCUGAAUGACCAGAUCAAUAAAGCCAAAGGAAAACCUUUGACUUCAUAUUGGCCUCUUGCCCAUGUAUUGGUAUCCAUCCUCUUGAUACUUGUAGACAAGACGUUGUAGGCUUCUUUUCCCCAUGCCAAAGAUGUAUACGCCUCAAAAUCGGAUGCAUGGUGAAGUCUUGAACUUGGGAUUUUCUCUAAUGAAUGAGGCGUCAUCAAGAAUGCUUCUGUAAGGAUGACAGCUGCAAGGCAAAGCUUUUCAUCCUCUUCCAUCGGCGCCUCUGUUUCCUCUGUUUUCUCCAAAUCAGUUAUAUCCUUUGGUUCAGAAAACAAGUAAUUCUCCAAAUUACUCAAGGUCAAAUCUUUUCGCGACGUCCAACUGUAGGGUUUCUUAGCAGGUUUUUUCCCCUUCCUACUUUGAUCUGUAUCAAGCUUUUCACAAUGAAUACCUGUGAUUUAUUAAACAAUGAGGUUAGUAUUUUCAAUCUACUCAUAAAUUUCGUAUAUUUCACAUUCAAAUGAUAUGUACAUACCUUAUUAAAACCUUAUAAAACCUUAUAAAAACCUUAUAAACAAGUUUUCAAAUAAUGUUUAUUUGACAUUCAAAUGAUAUGUACAUACCUUAUAAAAACCUUAUAAAAACCUUAUAAAAACCUUAUAAAAACCUUAUAAGAACCUUAUAAAAACCUUAUAAAAACUUUAUAAACAAGUUUUCAAAUAAUUUGUUUAUUUCACAUUCAAAUGAUAUGUACAUACCUUAUAAAAACCUUAUAAAAAUCUUAUAUAAACCUUAUAAGAACCUUAUAAAACCUUAUAAAAACCUUAUAAAAUACUUAUAAACAAGUUUUCAAAGAAUUCGUUUAUUUUCACAUUCAAAUGAUAUGUAUAUACCUUAUAAAAACCUUAUAAAAACCUUAUAAAAACUUUUUAUAACUGGCAGAAAUUAAACAAAGAUGUAAAAUAUAUAUGGAAUACCUGUUGAGAGAAAAAAAUUCUCUCAUUGAGAAACGUGUUGGUUGUGAAGCGAUUCUGAACCACAAGUUGUUUCCUUUAGUCUUCAGCCUCCUCAUCAUAAUGUAGUGANNNNNNNNNNNNNNNNNNNNNNNNNNNNNNNNNNNNNNNNNNNNNNNNNNNNNNNNNNNNNNNNNNNNNNNNNNNNNNNNNNNNNNNNNNNNNNNNNNNNUGAUGAUGUGUCCGAGGAAAGAAUCCUCAAGCUGCUUGAACGAUUCAUCGCUCAAAACAGCUUUAACUUUCCAAAUUAGUUUAAAAUCCGUAUGUUGUAUUAUUGAUGCUUGAGAGAAUGGUUCACUUCCAUCUUCAUAUAUACCGUUAGGUAAUAGAAGAUAAUCAACCGGUUCACUACUCUCCAUCUGUUUAUUAACAUCAAAAACCAAAAUAUUUUAACCUAAAUGUUUAAAAACCUUUUAAAAUGCUUAUGAGACUACAACUUUUGAUGCACAAACCAUUUUUUUACAAAGUUUUUAUGAUUUUCAUUUUCUAUAAGGUUUUCAAAAUUGAUUAAAGCCAUCCCUGAACAAUUGUAGUAAAUAUAUGUUUAAUCUCAAUCGAUCUCCAAUUAAUCUCAAUCGAUCUCCAACAAUUAAUCUCAAUCGAUCUCCAACAGUUAAUCUCAAUCGAUCUCCAACAAUUAAUCUCAAUCGAUUUCCAACAAUUAAUCUCAAUCGAUCUCCAACAAUUAAUUUCAAUCGAUCUCCAACAAUUAAUCUCAAUCGAUCUAAAAAAGAACCCUAAAUUGGCAAACCCUAAACAAUUAACAAGUAAGAGAUAACAUAGGGCACUUACACGGCCAAGAGAGAGAAGACACGGCGAGGCGAUUUUGUGUGACGACGAGGAGUCCUCAACCGAUGACGACGCCGAUGAGGAGUGUGAGACAGAGAGGAGAGGAGUCCUCGAGAAACCAGAAUCGAGAGAGAGAGAGAGGAGUCUGAGGCGGACAGAGACAAGAUUCUCGCCGGAGACAGAGAGGAGAUGGAAUCGGAGUUGUGAUAGAGAGGAGAAGCAGGAUUCUCGCCGGAGUCCAGCCGUCGAGAAAGAGAUCGUUUUCGUGAGAGAGAGAAUUGUGAACCAAAGAUUUUUUAGGUUUAACAUAAACCAGGGCAAAAUCGUCUUUUGGCAUUAAAACAGGGGUAGUUUUAAAAAUGCUCCCCUUAUAGGGGUAUUUUUAAAAGGGAAUACCCAAAAGGGGUAUUUUUAGAAUUGUCCCAAGUUUAUAAGGAUGUUUAAAGGGUUUACAAGGGUUUUUAAAAAUUUACAACGAUUUUUAAAAGAACUUUAUAAGCGAUUUACAAGUGUUAAUAAAAGUUUUAAAAAGAUUUACCACGGUUAUAAGAGUUUUUAAAGGGAUUUACAAGUGUUUAUAAAAGUUAUAAAAGUCUUUACAAAUGUUUUAAAAGGUUUACUAGAGUUUUUAAAAGUUUUAGAUGACUUUUUAAAAGAUUUACAAGGGAUUUUAAGGAUAUUCAAAGGUUUUAAAAAUCAUUACAAAGUUUUUAAAAUAUUUUUUAAGGUAUUGCGGAAAAUUUUGGCGGGAAAUGUUUUGUCGGAAAUUUUUUGCGGACAAUUUUUUGGGGACAAUUUAUCGGAAAAUUUUUUUUUUUUGUUGGAAGGAAUAUUUCUUUUUUCAUCAUGAUUUCCACUAAAGGAGUGUAAUUUAGUUAUUUUAUACCUAGAUAGGGUAUUUUUGAAAAUGGACACCAAGAGAGGGUAUUUGUAAAAAAAUGUAACCCAAAAAGGUUAUUUUAGCAAAUCCCCCUUUUUCCAAAUAAGCUAAAUAUUUUACUUAAAUUUUUAAUAAUUUAGGCUUAGAAUAUAUAAUUAUAACCUAUACAAAUGGUCUCAUGAAAAAAAAAAACAUAUAAAAGCAUAACUUUUAAUUUGAUUUUGGUCCAUCCAUUCAACCGAAGAAAUGAAGAGAUAACAAAUUUGUUGCACGAUAUCUGAAGAGCGAUUCUAAGUAAAAGUGAUGAUGGUUUUGAUUGUACUUCUCUUGUUAACCGGUUAACUAACAGCGUUUCGGCAUAUGUUGAUGUUGCCUAAUUUCAUAUAGUUUAACUUAGAAUUUGAAUUUUUAAUGAGUUUAGAUUGAAAUUUACCAAGUAGCAUAAUUUAGGUAUUGAAAAACCGUCAAUAAGUUAGUCGAGGUUCAUUUUGGCCAUUUUUCCAUCACUGCACAAUGAACGUUAACGUCCAAAUUGAUAUUAUUGACUUGACUUCCAAAGCACAAUAACUAUUUACUAACAGAAUGUUCCAACGUAUAUAACCCCUAAAAUGUGCCAAAAUAAGCAACUCGAACCCACUGGUAGGUUAGGCCUAUACUUAGCCGAAGCCUACAUGCUUUAAUUAAGACUUUAAUUAGUUGUUUUCUUAUUUAUUUAUUUUUUUUUCAACAAUAUUAAGAUUAACUCAAAAGAGCCAAUUGGGGGAACAAGUGUCAACAAACUUGACAAAAUGCAGGAGGGCACGAACUUUUCGUGCCAGAGAGUUCGCUUUUACAUUUUGAUUACAAGAUAUAAGAGAAAGAGAAAAAGUUGAGAAUUCUUCCCUAUCACUCCUAAUGUCGUCUAGGUAAACAGAGAAAGCUGGCCAUUCAGUAGGAGAAGACACCAUCUUCACCAGGUCGGAACAGUCCGUGAGAAAAAUCACAUCUCUGAAGUUGUGUCCUAUCAUGCAGCGCAUUGCCCAAACUAGAGCUUCGACUUCCGCAUGUAGAGGAGAGAGACUGCGGCGAGGAUUCGUUGCUCCCAUCCAUGUUGCUGAGUCUGGAGCAUGCUGGCAAUACCAUCCUAAUCCUACCGACAAGUCAAUUUCCUUCCAAGAUCCAUCAACAAAACAUCUAUACCCUGACGAGGUAUGAGGUAGAGAAACCGAGCGAAACCGAGGCGCGGAAGCCACUGGUAAGGUCGCUUCUGGAGCCUCUGAUUCCUCUAUCUGCGCUGCAUCCCAUGAUCCCGCCUUAGUCUGAGCAAUCCUCACUACCUCCAUCGGAUUUUCAUCCUUAUUAUCAAAAACCUUGGCAUUCCGUGCCUCCCAAUAUAUACCAUAAUAACCCAGGAAUAAAUCUAGCUUGAUCAUCCUUCAGGGAUAAUCGAAGGAUAUAAUCCAUAUUCGCAUACACCAACGUUGUCGGGAAAGAGAGAAGGCCCACUGGAAUAUUCCCCAACGCCCAUACUUGACGCGUCGGAGGGCAUUCAAAAAGAACAUGAUUAACCGUCUCAUCCUGCGCAGUGCAACGUGCACAUCUAGUAUCGCAGUUGAUACCCCGAUGAAAUAAAUUAGCCGUUACUGAAAUGUAGCCAGUCAGGACUUGCCACAUAAAUUCUCCAUACUUUUAUCCCUAUAAAAGAAAAAGAAAAAAAAAAAUUUUGAAUACUCAAGUUAAUAAGCAUCACUCAAGUUUUAUCAUCAACUCAUAAGUCUCUUCUUCACCAAUAUACUAUACACUAGUAUCUUCCAAAACACAAUGACCCACUGCACUUUUCAAUGGUUUCAUAGUUUUACAAAGCAAACAGCCAAAACAAGUAACUCGAACCCACUGCAGCGUUAGGACUUCAUUAUCAAAGGAGACGACCUCAAGUCAAUUAUAAAUAAAAGUUACCAAAUACAAUGAAUAUGCGACUCCUUCCGUCUAAUGUUUUAUAAUUUUGUGUUUGUUUUGCAAAAUUACUUUAAAGAAUAAAUGAUAUACUUAAAUCUAGAACAAAAUAUAAUUUGAAGUUGGGAGAAUCGUAAGAAGUAGCAAAAAAUUACUAAACACCAAUUUGAAUAUAAUUAGAAUUUAAUAUUAAUUAAUUAUUUUAAAAUCUUAAGCGAAUAAUACCAACAAAAAAAAAGAAUAAACAUGAUUCAUACAUAUCGUAUCUAAUAACACUAAAUUUUAAUGCAUAAUUUAUAUAUAUAAAAAGAACUGAAUAAUUUGGAUUUAGCAUAAAUAUAAAUUAAAAUUACAUGAUUAUACAAUAUAACCCUAAACAUCAUUACUUAAUCUAUUUUUUUGUUCCGUGUAACAUAACCCAAGCCAAUUGUGGGAAAUUAAAAACCAUAGUUAAUGAUCAUCACUUGAAUAUUUCUUUGUUAGUGUAUUUAUUAAAUAGUUGCAGAAGCUAAACAUAUUGUGAGUAAAUUUGAGAUUUAUUGCAUGAUUGAACACACGAUUAUCACUCACACACAAGUCCAAUACACAAUGACUUGGAAAUUACUCAACAGAAUGUUCAACGUAGGCACUUUUCUAGUGACUGGUUUCGUAAUUUCUUAAAGCAAACAGCCAAAAGACGAUUUUGCCCUGGGUUAGGCCUUCAUUAUCAAAGAGACGACCCCAACUCAAUCACUAAGCCUUCAUGAAGUCUAUUAAAGAGCCACAGAACUUGGAUAGCUUUGUCUAUCACCAAGAGAGAAAGAUAAUAGUGAGUGAGAUAGUAAGUGAGAAUGGCUUUUGCUGAGAAGAAUCCUUCUUAUAAUCUUCUUCGUUUCCUUUUGUUCAUAUCCAUAACUUUGAGCUGUUCUAUCACAGCUUCUGCGACUAUCUCAGAAGCAAAUGCUCUUCUCAAAUGGAAAUCCACUUUCACCAACCAGAGACCCUCAUCAAAGCUGUCUUCAUGGGUCAAUGAUGCAAACACCAAUACUAGCUUUCCAUGCACCACUUGGUAUGGUGUUUCCUGCAACUCACGAGGGAGUAUUGAAAAGUUAAAUCUCACUGACANNNNNNNNNNNNNNNNNNNNNNNNNNNNNNNNNNNNNNNNNNNNNNNNNNNNNNNNNNNNNNNNNNNNNNNNNNNNNNNNNNNNNNNNNNNNNNNNNNNNCUUACAUUGAUCUUAGCAUAAACCGUUUCUCUGGAACCAUCCCUCCUCAAUUCGGAAACAUCUCAAAACUCAUCUACUUUGACCUUUCCACAAACUACUUAACCGGGGAAAUCCCACCUGAGCUUGGCAAUUUGCGAAACCUAGAAACCCUUUAUCUUUAUAGAAACAAGUUAAACGGAUCGAUUCCAUUGGAGAUCGGUCUCUUAACCUCAGUUCGGGAUAUCGCCUUGUCUAACAAUUCCCUAUCUGGACCAAUACCCUCUUCCAUUGGAAAUCUAACCAACUUGGUAACCCUGAAACUCUUUCUCAAUUCUUUCUCGGGUCCACUACCUUCCGAGAUUGGGAACUUACCCAACCUUGGUAAUCUAAUCCUUAAUGAAAACAAUCUCUCUGGACCAUUACCCUCUUCCAUUGGAAAUCUAACCAACUUGGAACAACUGUACCUCUUUAACAAUUCUUUAUCGGGUCCACUUCCUUUCGAGAUUGGAAACUUACCCAACCUUGUUGAGCUAGACCUUAGUGGAAACAACCUUUCUGGACCAAUACCCUCUUCCAUUGGAAAUCUAACCAACUUGGUACAAUUGUACCUUUAUACCAAUUCUUUCUCGGGUCCACUUCCUUUCGAGAUUGGAAACUUACCCAAACUUGUUUACUUACAGCUUUGUAUAAACAACCUAUCUGGACCAGUGCCCUCUUCCAUUGGAAAUUUAACCAAGUUGGUUGAGCUAUACCUUAAUACAAAUAACUUGUUUGGACCAAUACCCUCUUCCAUUGGAAAUCUAACCAACUUGGUCAAGUUGUACCUCUUUAAAAAUUCUUUCUCGGGUCCACUUCCUUUUGAGAUUGGAAACUUACUCAACCUUGUUGAGCUAGACCUUAGUGAAAACAACCUUUCAGGACCAAUACCCUCUUCCAUUGGAAAUUUAAGAAACUUGGUAUGGCUCUCCCUCAGUACCAAUUCUUUCUCUGGUCAGAUUCCACUGGGAGUAUCAAACUCUUCAAAGCUAACUAUCUUGCAACUCAGCGAAAAUAACUUCACUGGUUUCUUGCCUGAAAACAUUUGCAAAGGUGGUAAGCUUCAGAAGAUCUCAUUAAUUGGCAAUCAUCUAGAAGGUUCCAUCCCAAAAAGCUUGAGAGAUUGCAACAGCUUGAUGAGAGCAAGAUUUUCGGGGAACCGAUUUAUUGGAGAUAUUUCUGAAUCUUUUGGGGUUUACCCACAUCUUGAUUUCAUUGAUCUCAGCCACAACAAAUUCCACGGUGAGAUUUCAAGCAAUUGGGAGAAGAGUCGAAAACUAGGUGCCUUGAUCAUGUCCAACAAUAACAUCAGCGGCUCUAUCCCACCAGAGAUUUGGAACAUGACACAACUAGUUGAGUUAGAUCUGUCUACCAACAACCUCACAGGUGAGCUUCCAGAAGCAAUUCAGAAUCUGAAAGGUUUGUCGAAGCUACUUCUCAAUGGGAAUAAGUUAUCUGGAAGAAUUCCUAUGGGUUUAAGUUUCUUAACUAAGCUCGAGUCUCUAGACUUAUCUUCAAACAGAUUCGAUGCUCAGAUCCCACAAACCUUUGACAACUUCACUAACCUCCACGAAAUGAAUCUGAGUAGAAACAAGUUUGAUGGACGUAUUCCCAGACUAACAAAGUUGGCUCAGCUAACCCAUCUUGAUCUCAGCCACAACCAGCUCGACGGAGAAAUCCCAUCACAACUUAGCUCUUUGCAGAGCCUCGAUAAGCUCGACCUCUCACACAACAAUCUUUUGGGUCUCAUUCCAACAAGUUUUGAGGGCAUGAAAGCGUUGACAUACAUAGAUAUAUCAAACAAUAAACUCGAGGGUCCGCUUCCAGAUAAUGCAGCAUUUCGAAAUGCAACAGCAGAUUCUUUGGAGGGAAACAAAGGCUUAUGCAGUAAUAUCCCAAGACAAAGGUUGAAAUCAUGCCAGAAGAAUGGAUUCAUGAAAUCAAAGAAGGAUGGCAGCCUUGUUGGGUGGAUACUAGUGCCAAUCCUAGGAGCACUCGUCAUUCUCUCUAUAUGCGCUGGGACAUUUAACUACUACCUUCGCAAACAAAAACAAAAAAAUGGAAACAACAACUCAGAUGCUGAAACUGGAGAGAGCUUGUCUAUAUUUUGCUAUGAUGGCAAAUUCAAAUACCAAGAUAUCAUAAACUCAACCGAAGAAUUUGAUCCUAAAUAUCUUAUCGGAAUGGGAGGAUACGGCAAAGUCUACAAAGCAAACCUCCCAAGCGCGAUUGUAGCUGUCAAGAAACUAAACCUUACAAUGGAGGAAGAGAUAUCAAAGCCGGUGGUGAAGCAAGAGUUCCUAAACGAAGUAAGAGCCUUAACAGAGAUCCGUCAUCGCAACGUGGUGAAGCUCUUCGGCUUCUGCUCUCACCGCCGCCACACUUUCCUGAUCUACGAGUACAUGGAAAAAGGAAGUUUAAACAAAUUGUUAGCUGACGACAAAGAAGCGAAACGACUCAAUUGGACCAAAAGGAUCAAUAUAGUGAAAGGUGUGGCGUAUGCGUUAUCGUAUAUGCACCAUGACAGAUCAACUCCGAUCGUCCACCGUGAUAUUAGCAGCGGCAACAUCCUUCUUGAUAAUGAUUAUAAACCUAAGAUCUCCGAUUUUGGCACAGCGAAGCUUCUCAAGAUGGAUUCCUCAAAUUGGUCCGCCGUCGCCGGAACCUAUGGCUAUGUCGCUCCAGG